RNAcentral lists this long non-coding RNA (315 nucleotides) under Homo sapiens (human). Its description in RNAcentral is "HSALNT0289734". Lineage: Eukaryota; Metazoa; Chordata; Mammalia; Primates; Hominidae. The record is from RNAcentral.
UGCUGAGCGACAAAGAGGGGCGUGAGGGGCCCCCCAGCUGUGUGUGGCUGCCCAGGCUCAUGCAACAGGAGGGCAACCUGCUGAGCUCCACGAGACAGGGCUGGGGACUCGUGGGUGCAGCUGGCACCCUAGUCCUGCCUGACCCCCCAAGGCCAAGGGGGUACGUGGAAGGGGUUACAGAAGCAAGCAGAUGAGGCGCAGCCCAGCCCCCCCGGCACCUUGGACAUCAGUGUCCAGCAGACACUUGACCUUGUCCCCGUGCUGGAAGGGCUGGCUGUCAGCACUCACCCUGCGCUGCAGCUCCGCCGGCUUGCC